RNAcentral lists this ribosomal RNA (851 nucleotides) under uncultured bacterium. RNAcentral's name for it is "bacterial SSU rRNA". It matches the Rfam family "Bacterial small subunit ribosomal RNA", at positions 8 to 853 of the family's 1533-position model. The record is from RNAcentral.
AGAGUUUGAUCCUGGCUCAGAUUGGACGCUGCGGCAGGCCUUACACAUGCAGUCGAACGGUAACAGGAGAAAGCUUGCUUUCUUGGCGACGAGUGGCGGACGGGUGAGUUAUGCUGGGGAUCUGGCCUUAUGGAGGGGGAUAACUACGGGAAACUGUAGCUAAUACCGCGUAUAUCUUCGGAUUAAAGGGUGGGACUUUCGGGCCACCUGCCAUAAGAUGAGCCCAAGUGGGAUUAGGUAGUUGGUGGGGUAAAGGCCUACCAAGCCGACGAUCUCUAGCUGGUCUGAGAGGAUGACCAGCCACACUGGAACUGAGACACGGUCCAGACUCCUACGGGAGGCAGCAGUGGGGAAUAUUGCACAAUGGGGGGAACCCUGAUGCAGCCAUGCCGCGUGAAUGAAGAAGGCCUUCGGGUUGUAAAGUUCUUUCGGUGAUGAGGAAGGUGUUUGUUUUAAUAGAACAAGCAAUUGACGUUAGUCACAGAAGAAGCACCGGCUAACUCCGUGCCAGCAGCCGCGGUAAUACGGAGGGUGCGAGCGUUAAUCGGAAUGACUGGGCGUAAAGGGCACGCAGGCGGUGACUUAAGUGAGAUGUGAAAGCCCCGAGCUUAACUUGGGAAUUGCAUUUCAUACUGGGUCGCUAGAGUAUUUUAGGGAGGGGUAGAAUUCCACGUGUAGCGGUGAAAUGCGUAGAGAUGUGGAGGAAUACCGAAGGCGAAGGCAGCCCCUUGGGAAUAUACUGACGCUCAUGUGCGAAAGCGUGGGGAGCAAACAGGAUUAGAUACCCUGGUAGUCCACGCUGUAAACGCUGUCGAUUUGGGGAUUGGGCUUAGAACUUGGUGCCCGUAGCU